GGGCUCGUAGUCUAGUUUGGUAGGAUCGGGCCUUCGGGAGGCUCAGACAGGAGUUCGAAUCUCCUCGGGCCCA
Molecule: transfer RNA, 73 nt
Filed under: Candidatus Aenigmatarchaeota archaeon
Lineage: Archaea; Nanobdellati; Candidatus Aenigmatarchaeota
Description: tRNA-Pro
Rfam family: tRNA
About the family: Transfer RNA (tRNA) molecules are approximately 80 nucleotides in length.
Source: RNAcentral